AUGCAGCAGUCAGGCUCCAGAAUGUCAUCUGUUAUGGAAGUGAAGACGCCGUGCUCAGCGAGGGGGCUUCCCAGCAGGACUGCUGCGACAUCGUUUCAGGUAUGGGGAGACCUGGGAUGCGCCCGGCACCGUGGAAGGGCUGGAGAGAAAGUGAUCCACGGGAGCGUACAGUGCUGCCCUGAGACCUUGCACUUGACUGCAAAGCUCAACAAGGUGAGUCACCCAAGGAGGGGGAGGUACUGUGGAAUGCUGGUCGAAGGCUAUCAGGGAGGGCUUCCGGGAAGCGGUGAUCUCCAAGCCAAGACCCAGUGGACAAACCAGCUUUGGAUUUGUGUGUGUGUGUCUGUGUGUGUCUGAGUGAGGAGGAGUGUGGUGGGGCAGAGACUGGAAUGAACAUCGCAGCCAGAGACACAAGCGCUCGGGACUAAAAGAUGAGUGUGCGCGGCUGCACAGACACCCACGGUGCGGGAGGCCGGCUGCAGCCCUGGCCUGGAGGAUGCUGCGGUUCACCGUGAGGACUUGGCUUUGAUCCAGAGGGCGGCGGAGCGCCAUGGGAAGGCCGAGGAGGGGCGCGAUGGCACCGGUGGUUUCCCAGCACUAAGGUCCCUGGGGCCCCCUGCAGAGAAAAUGUCCAGGCGGCGAGAUCCACCUCCCACGCCAGCGCAGAGAAUUGUGGAAUCGGUUUUGGGGUCCGUUUUAGACGUUGAGACCUAAAAAGGAAUUUAAGAAAAUGCCUCUAACAACCCCACCCCACCCCCCGACAAAGAGUAGUUCCAGAAAUGGGGGCUAGGUGGUCCUGGCGUCAAGCCAAGAAUGAGUGGCCAGGGCACCUGAGGGUGGGCACGUGCUGCUAAGCUGGGGGAGGGCGUCUCGGAGCCCUUCUCUCCGCCCCCAAGGACGCUGGCAGGUAACAAGGGGGUACCCGCUCUGCUGCCCUCUUGCCGGGUCUCCACUCCUGCAUCUGCAGGACCUGCCCGGGAGGGCGGAGAGGCUGGGGGCAGGCUGGGGAAGCCGCCCGCUCCACCUCCGGAGCGCUGCGGGGGUGCAAGAGUUCUCGGUUCUGUUCUCCUGGAAAGGCCUCCGUGUCCUGUGGUCCCACAGGGUGGAGGCCAGUGGCUCCGUCCACAGAGCACAGCUCACCUACUCUGCACUGGGGGUGUCGGGGACCAGAAGGUCACACCGGGGAGCAGUGGCGAGAGGGACUGCGCUGGGGGACCUGGGAGAGGGGAG
This 1230-nucleotide long non-coding RNA is filed under the name Sus scrofa (pig). RNAcentral describes it as "lncRNA (ENSSSCG00030023800.1)". The record is from RNAcentral. Lineage: Eukaryota; Metazoa; Chordata; Mammalia; Artiodactyla; Suidae.